CGAGCGGGGGAGGGUGCUUUGCGUACACUGACCUAGCGGCGGACGGGUGAGUAAUGCUUAGGAAUCUGCCUAUUAGUGGGGGACAACAUUCCGAAAGGAAUGCUAAUACCGCAUACGCCCUACGGGGGAAAGCAGGGGAUCUUCGGACCUUGCGCUAAUAGAUGAGCCUAAGUCAGAUUAGCUAGUUGGUGGGGUAAAGGCCUACCAAGGCGACGAUCUGUAGCGGGUCUGAGAGGAUGAUCCGCCACACUGGGACUGAGACACGGCCCAGACUCCUACGGGAGGCAGCAGUGGGGAAUAUUGGACAAUGGGCGCAAGCCUGAUCCAGCCAUGCCGCGUGUGUGAAGAAGGCCUUUUGGUUGUAAAGCACUUUAAGCGAGGAGGAGGCUACUUGGAUUAAUACUCUAGGAUAGUGGACGUUACUCGCAGAAUAAGCACCGGCUAACUCUGUGCCAGCAGCCGCGGUAAUACAGAGGGUGCGAGCGUUAAUCGGAUUUACUGGGCGUAAAGCGUGCGUAGGCGGCUUUUUAAGUCGGAUGUGAAAUCCCUGAGCUUAACUUAGGAAUUGCAUUCGAUACUGGGAAGCUAGAGUAUGGGAGAGGAUGGUAGAAUUCCAGGUGUAGCGGUGAAAUGCGUAGAGAUCUGG
Molecule: ribosomal RNA, 646 nt
Filed under: Acinetobacter johnsonii
Lineage: Bacteria; Pseudomonadati; Pseudomonadota; Gammaproteobacteria; Moraxellales; Moraxellaceae
Description: bacterial SSU rRNA
Rfam family: Bacterial small subunit ribosomal RNA
Source: RNAcentral